RNAcentral lists this antisense RNA (75 nucleotides) under Streptomyces chrestomyceticus JCM 4735. RNAcentral describes it as "ASpks TB sRNA". It matches the Rfam family "ASpks TB sRNA". Lineage: Bacteria; Bacillati; Actinomycetota; Actinomycetes; Kitasatosporales; Streptomycetaceae. The record is from RNAcentral.
CUUCACCGACCCCAGCCACAACGGCCGGUCUUCAGGACGAUCCUGCCCGUACGUGGCCAGCAGCGCCUGCGCCUC